Non-coding RNA from Felis catus (domestic cat), 85 nucleotides. Lineage: Eukaryota; Metazoa; Chordata; Mammalia; Carnivora; Felidae. The record is from Rfam.
GCCUGGGUGGCUCAGUCGCUUGGGUGUCUGACUUCAACUCAGGUCAUGAUCUCGCAGUUCAUGAGUUCGAGCCCCAUGUCAGGCU